RNAcentral lists this ribosomal RNA (272 nucleotides) under uncultured bacterium. RNAcentral's name for it is "partial 16S ribosomal RNA". It matches the Rfam family "Bacterial small subunit ribosomal RNA", at positions 524 to 794 of the family's 1533-position model. The record is from RNAcentral.
UACGAGGGGUCCCUAGCGUUGUUCGGAAUCAUUGGGCGUAAAGGGUGUGUAGGUGGCUAUGUAAGUCAGGUGUGAAAGCCCUGGGCUCAACCCAGGAAGUGCAUUGGAAACUGUCAGACUUGAAUACGGGAGAGGGUAGUGGAAUUCCUAGUGUAGGAGUGAAAUCCGUAGAUAUUAGGAGGAACACCGGUGGCGAAGGCGGCUACCUGGACCGAUAUUGACGCUGAGACGCGAAAGCGUGGGUAGCAAACAGGAUUAGAAACCCGAGUAGU